AGUGGCGGACGGGUGAGUAACGCGUAGGAAUCUAUCCAUGGGUGGGGGAUAACUCUGGGAAACUGGAGCUAAUACCGCAUGAUACCUGAGGGUCAAAGGCGUAAGUCGCCUGUGGAGGAGCCUGCGUUCGAUUAGCUUGUUGGUGGGGUAAUGGCCUACCAAGGCGAUGAUCGAUAGCUGGUCUGAGAGGAUGAUCAGCCACACUGGGACUGAGACACGGCCCAGACUCC
Molecule: ribosomal RNA, 230 nt
Filed under: uncultured Acetobacter sp.
Lineage: Bacteria; Pseudomonadati; Pseudomonadota; Alphaproteobacteria; Acetobacterales; Acetobacteraceae
Description: partial 16S ribosomal RNA
Rfam family: Bacterial small subunit ribosomal RNA
Source: RNAcentral